This 1400-nucleotide ribosomal RNA is filed under the name Ectopseudomonas mendocina. Its description in RNAcentral is "bacterial SSU rRNA". It matches the Rfam family "Bacterial small subunit ribosomal RNA". Lineage: Bacteria; Pseudomonadati; Pseudomonadota; Gammaproteobacteria; Pseudomonadales; Pseudomonadaceae. The record is from RNAcentral.
UGCAAGUCGAGCGGAUGAAGGGAGCUUGCUCCCUGAUUUAGCGGCGGACGGGUGAGUAAUGCCUAGGAAUCUGCCUGGUAGUGGGGGAUAACGUUCCGAAAGGAACGCUAAUACCGCAUACGUCCUAUGGGAGAAAGCAGGGGACCUUCGGGCCUUGCGCUAUCAGAUGAGCCUAGGUCGGAUUAGCUAGUUGGUGAGGUAAUGGCUCACCAAGGCGACGAUCCGUAACUGGUCUGAGAGGAUGAUCAGUCACACUGGAACUGAGACACGGUCCAGACUCCUACGGGAGGCAGCAGUGGGGAAUAUUGGACAAUGGGCGAAAGCCUGAUCCAGCCAUGCCGCGUGUGUGAAGAAGGUCUUCGGAUUGUAAAGCACUUUAAGUUGGGAGGAAGGGCAUUAACCUAAUACGUUAGUGUUUUGACGUUACCAACAGAAUAAGCACCGGCUAACUUCGUGCCAGCAGCCGCGGUAAUACGAAGGGUGCAAGCGUUAAUCGGAAUUACUGGGCGUAAAGCGCGCGUAGGUGGUUCGUUAAGUUGGAUGUGAAAGCCCCGGGCUCAACCUGGGAACUGCAUCCAAAACUGGCGAGCUAGAGUACGGUAGAGGGUGGUGGAAUUUCCUGUGUAGCGGUGAAAUGCGUAGAUUGAGGAAGGAACACCAGUGGCGAAGGCGACCACCUGGACUGAUACUGACACUGAGGUGCGAAAGCGUGGGAGGAAAACAGGAUUAGAUACCCUGGUAGUCCACGCCGUAAACGAUGUCAACUAGCCGUUGGAAUCCUUGAGAUUUUAGUGGCGCAGCUAACGCAUUAAGUUGACCGCCUGGGGAGUACGGCCGCAAGGUUAAAACUCAAAUGAAUUGACGGGGGCCCGCACAAGCGGUGGAGCAUGUGGUUUAAUUCGAAGCAACGCGAAGAACCUUACCUGGCCUUGACAUGCUGAGAACUUUCCAGAGAUGGAUUGGUGCCUUCGGGAACUCAGACACAGGUGCUGCAUGGCUGUCGUCAGCUCGUGUCGUGAGAUGUUGGGUUAAGUCCCGUAACGAGCGCAACCCUUGUCCUUAGUUACCAGCACCUCGGGUGGGCACUCUAAGGAGACUGCCGGUGACAAACCGGAGGAAGGUGGGGAUGACGUCAAGUCAUCAUGGCCCUUACGGCCAGGGCUACACACGUGCUACAAUGGUCGGUACAAAGGGUUGCCAAGCCGCGAGGUGGAGCUAAUCCCAUAAAACCGAUCGUAGUCCGGAUCGCAGUCUGCAACUCGACUGCGUGAAGUCGGAAUCGCUAGUAAUCGUGAAUCAGAAUGUCACGGUGAAUACGUUCCCGGGCCUUGUACACACCGCCCGUCACACCAUGGGAGUGGGUUGCUCCAGAAGUAGCUAGUCUAACCUUCGGGGGGACG